GCCUGGGUGGCUCAGUCAGUUAAGCAUCUGACUUCAGCUCAGGCAUGAUCUCACAGUCUGUGAGUUCAAGCCUCACGUUGGGCU
This 84-nucleotide transfer RNA is filed under the name Felis catus (domestic cat). It matches the Rfam family "tRNA". Rfam says of the family: Transfer RNA (tRNA) molecules are approximately 80 nucleotides in length. Lineage: Eukaryota; Metazoa; Chordata; Mammalia; Carnivora; Felidae. The record is from Rfam by way of RNAcentral.